Tripterygium wilfordii is the source of this 407-nucleotide long non-coding RNA. RefSeq lists it as uncharacterized. The record is from RefSeq and is a predicted model, not a curated record. Lineage: Eukaryota; Viridiplantae; Streptophyta; Magnoliopsida; Celastrales; Celastraceae. The transcript has 2 exons.
UUAGGGUUUUCUCCGUUCUUUAUCUUGGUUGUGCGACUGCGAUACAAGAUAUUCCUCUUCCAAUCUUCAUCUUUUGUGUCUCACAAGUCACAGCAAAAUUAUUAUUUACUUACUAAAGACAAGAGUUUAGAAAAAAAGAGGAGCCUCUUGUAAGCGUAAAGACAUGAUUCGAUAAAAUCAUGUAGAAAAAAUAGCACAAGGAAUCUUAAAUGGUGAGAUUCAGAUUGGGAAGGGAUUGAAUCAACAGCUAAGUCAUAAGAGGCCCGGAGAUACAUAUUAGGGGUCCCAUUAUAAAUCACUUUUGAACUUGGUUUUUUUAUUCUCCCCUGUUAUUGAGGUUCUUGAAUUUAUUUCAUGUGACGCUUCAAAUUCAUAGAAAAAGCUCAAGCGUGUGUUCUUUUGAGAAA